GAGCACGUAGGUGGGUUUGUAAGUCAGAUGUGAAAGCCUUCUGUUCAAAGGAAGAACGGCAUCUGAAACUGCAGAUCUUGAGUAUAGGAGGGGAGAGUGGAACUUCUGGUGGAGCGUUGAUAUGUGUAUAUAUCAAAAGGAACGUCGGCGCCGAAAGAGACUCUUUGGGUUACUACUGAGUGUGAAUGUGCGAAAGUUAAGGGAGCACACCCGAUUAAAUACACCGGCCGUCCUAACCGUAAACUAAGGGCACUAUGUAUAUGUGUUUU
This 269-nucleotide ribosomal RNA is filed under the name uncultured bacterium. RNAcentral's name for it is "partial 16S ribosomal RNA". It matches the Rfam family "Bacterial small subunit ribosomal RNA", at positions 565 to 832 of the family's 1533-position model. The record is from RNAcentral.